This 1791-nucleotide unclassified non-coding RNA is filed under the name Exaiptasia diaphana. Its description in RNAcentral is "uncharacterized LOC110231782, transcript variant X1". Lineage: Eukaryota; Metazoa; Cnidaria; Anthozoa; Actiniaria; Aiptasiidae. The record is from RNAcentral.
GGGGGAAUGUUGUUGAGCAGUGAGCGUCAGUUUUACCAAGGCAGUAUCCAAAGAAAUGCAGCUCAACUACUUCAUUAUUACGAUCUCUGUGUGCAUCAAAAGUGCCUUAAGUCAAUCUCACUGCAUUGGCACCUGCUAUUCUGGAAGACUUUUCCCAGAGGCCCAAGACAUCUUCCAUGGAAAACAUAUCAAGGGGCACUCCUACAACAACAUCACCACUGAUAAUCCAGUCAAAUGCUACUCAUCUUGUGUCCAAGAUUGUCGUUGUAAGGCGUGCCAGAUGAAAGAUGCAAGAUGUGAGUUGCUGGAUGAGGACAAGACUUCAAAAAAGUUAUUAGACGAGCAAGGAUACGUGCACUUUGAACUCAAGCAGACGAUGUAUCAUGUGGCCUCCCACUUGGUAACACCAGGUGUUUGCUAUAAUGGCUGUUGUCGAUCUCAGCCCUGCAUGAACGGAGCGACAUGCGUAGAACAUUGCAACUCACCAAAGCAAAAGUUCACAUGCAAAUGUAAAAUCGACUAUAAAGGAACAGUAUGUGAGGAACGUGUGUGGGCAUCUUGCAUGGAUGUUUUAGCGUCUUCAGAGGUAUUUCCAAAUAAUGGUGUGUAUGCCAUAAAGAUCGAUAACAGUGCCAUUUCAGUUUACUGUGCAUUUGUCAAGCCAAACCAAGCCUGGACACUGAUUGAGUCUUUCAAUUCUAAAGCAAAUCCAUUCAAGAACACAACCUUUUACAAAAACGCUCCUAAAAACGAAGACAGUCCAAACUUUGAUCUUUAUCGUUCAUCUCUAAAGAGAAUGAAAGAAAUUCGUUCCAAAUCCACCUUGUUCAGAGCCACAUGCGAUUUCCCAAAUAGAGUGUCGUUGACUCCCGACCUUCUGAUCGGUCGCUUGAGUGAUGUCGACAUUCUUAAAACAGUAACAGCGUAUUCACUGAUAUGCAGGAGGUUCAAAUUCAUUGAUGUUCGAGGAUACAAUUGUUCUGACUGCACAGCACUGACGGCUUGGGAUGUAAGACACCACUUCCAUAUUGAUGUCACCUGGCCAAACUAUAAGUGUCAUUUCAAUCCUCCAAUCGCUGUACCGAAUGUUGAUAGCUUUGGCUUUUAUAAAUACACUGAUAAGGUAUCGAAAUGCACUGCCAAGACGAAGGCUACCACACAGUGGUGGUUAGGAGAAGAGAAACAAUCCGCUGGAGCAGCCUAGUCUAACAAACAGCGAGGGUUACGUUAGGAGAUCAGAGAAAAUACACUGCUAUACCCCAGUCUAGCACAAAAUGGUGGUUAGGAGAAUAGAAAUAAUCAUGAUACAUUGCAACACCCCAGUCGACCACGCAGUGGUGGUUAGGAGAAGAGAAAUAAACGAAAUGCACUGCAACACUCCCGUCUACCACACAGUGGUGGUUAGGAGAAGAGAAAUAAUCAAAAUACACUGCAACACCCCAGUCUACCACACAGUGGUGGUUAUAGCUGAGAAAUAAUCAAAACACACUGCACCACACCAGUCUACUACACAGCGGUGGUUAGGAGAAGAGAAAUAAUCAAAAUACACUGUAACACCGCAGUCUACCACACAGUGGUGGUUAGAAGAAGAGAAAUAAUCAAAAUACACUGCGACACCCUAGUCUACCACACAGUGGUGGUUAGGAGAAGAGAAAUAAACGAAAUGCACUGCAAAACUCCAGUCUACCACACAGUGGUGGUUAGGAGAAGAGAAAUAAUCAAAAUACACUGCAACACCCCAUCUACCACACAGUGGUGGUUAGGAGAAGAGAAAUAAUCAAAAUACACUGC